UGGGGAAUAUUGCACAAUGGGCGCAAGCCUGAUGCAGCAACGCCGCGUGAGGGACGACGGCCUCGGGUUGUAAACCUCUUUUAGUAGGGAAGAAGCGAAAGUGACGGUACCUGCAGAAAAAGCACCGGCUAACUACGUGCCAGCAGGCCGCGGUAAUACGUAGGGUGCGAGCGUUGUCCGGAAUUAUUGGGCGUAAAAGAGCUCGUAGGCGGUCUGUCGCGUCUGCUGUGAAAACCCCGAGGCUCAACCUCGGGCCUGCAGUGGGUACGGGCAGACUAGAGUGCGGUAGGGGAGAAUGGAAUUCCUGGUGUAGCGGUGGAAUGCGCAGAUAUCAGGAGGAACACCGAUGGCGAAGGCAGUUCUCUGGGCCGUAACUGACGCUGAGGAGCGAAAAGCGUGGGGAGCGAAACAGGAUUAGAUACCCUGGUAGUCCACGCCGUAAAACGUUGGGCGCUAGAUGUGGGGA
RNAcentral lists this ribosomal RNA (466 nucleotides) under uncultured bacterium. RNAcentral describes it as "partial 16S ribosomal RNA". It matches the Rfam family "Bacterial small subunit ribosomal RNA", at positions 355 to 828 of the family's 1533-position model. The record is from RNAcentral.